This is a long non-coding RNA of Myotis brandtii (Brandt's bat), 1267 nucleotides long. RefSeq lists it as uncharacterized. The record is from RefSeq and is a predicted model, not a curated record. The transcript is spliced from 2 exons. NCBI's taxonomy places the organism in Eukaryota, Metazoa, Chordata, Mammalia, Chiroptera, Vespertilionidae.
CUCCCCCGCCGUUCCCUCCCAGGGCUCGCGCGCAUCCCUGCUUCCUCGGAGGACUUACACGCGGCCCGAGAGCCCUUUGGGCGCCGUGGUGUCCCCAGGUGGCCUAGCGGUGCGUGGACCUGCGGGGCCGCUGGAGGCGUGCAGGGAGAGAGCAGGGACCUGCCCAGGCCCGAGCGCGGGGAUCCAGGGGCUGGAGGUGUGCAGGAGGCACGGAUUUGCUGAGGGUCGGGUUGUGCACAGGGACCCAGGGGCGACCCGGAUGCUGAUUGAUGGUUUAUGCAGCAUCUGACCCAAACCCGAUCCUCUGCCUGUUUCCACGAUUACUGAUGAGACGGUGCGGUGUGUGAUGAUGUUCAUGCAGCUGAAUUAGAGGAAAUGGAAAUACCUUUUAGAUGGAAUGAACUUUCUAUCCUUAUAUGUUUAUGCAUUGUUUGUUGUUAAAACAUGGAGAAUAUGUCGGAAGAGCAGCUUAAUUCAAAUCUCUCCCCUCCCCCAGCCCAAAACAGGCACAGAGAAAUCACCAUGGUAAACCACACCAGUGUUCCCAAGAUUUAUAUUCUAAUGAAAACAAUCGCCAUCUUUACUCACUUGGAGCCACGUUAAUUUUUUCUUACCAGGAUAUUUCUGCUGCUCUUCCUCAGCUCGGCUCUGUGCAGCGUUUGCUUUUUUCUGGAGCAUUUGGUGCGGUGUGAGUGUGAACUGCAAAAGGUUUUCCGAUUUCAUGUGCAAACAGGAGCCUGGGAAUUGGCAGUCCCUGUCAUUUGGUUGAUGAAUGAUGUGUGCUCCCAGUUAAAUAAGAUUUACUCUGUUCUCGGCAUCAAGGCUGGUCCGGGCUUCCAGGAAGAGUGGGUCAUUUUCUGGAUAUUGCGUAGCGCACUGAUAUUUGACAGUUCACUACAUCCAACAGAAAUGCUCCACAUGUUGUAAUUUUUAAGUAACCAUCAGAGCUGAUUAUAGAGAUGACCUGGCAAUGUUUUGUUUUCAGGGGGGCUUUCUCAGUGGUGAGAAGAUGUAUGAAAAUCCCUACUGGUCAAGAAUAUGCUGCCAAAAUCAUCAACACCAAGAAGCUGUCUGCCAGGGGUAGGUGGUGUCCACCGUGCGUGUCUGUCACCUGUGUGCUUCUCCUGCCACUGGGGUUCUCUGGCAAGCACAUCACAUGGUUGUCGCUGAAUGAUGGACUUAGGUGGCGUGUCACAUACUGAGAUUAGUUCUCCCGAACGCCUCUUGGUCUAUACAGUUUAAAAAUAAAUGAACAAAUAUAACUUAA